UAGAAAAUAAAAGCGCCUGAACUACACAAUGGUCGGAUAUUUGUGUAGUUGACGAGGAGAGGGUUUAUCGAUUAAUCGGCGGAUGCCCUCCGGUUGUAGCAUGACAGCCGUUAAGCUUCUGUAAAAAACAAAGGGGUGACUCUUUGCACAAAGACAGAAGUAGCAUGCCAC
This 171-nucleotide non-coding RNA is filed under the name Bacillus sp. (in: firmicutes). RNAcentral's name for it is "Bacillus sp. GlcN6P sequence". It matches the Rfam family "glmS glucosamine-6-phosphate activated ribozyme aptamer". Rfam says of the family: This entry contains a glucosamine-6-phosphate activated ribozyme that is found in the mRNA for GlmS. The record is from RNAcentral. Lineage: Bacteria; Bacillati; Bacillota; Bacilli; Caryophanales; Bacillaceae.